Molecule: transfer RNA, 65 nt
Filed under: Lithoredo abatanica
Lineage: Eukaryota; Metazoa; Mollusca; Bivalvia; Myida; Teredinidae
Description: tRNA-Ala
Source: RNAcentral
AGCGCAAUACUUUAAUGAAAAGGUUUGAUUUGCGUUCAAAGAUUGGAAUAGUUUUCCUUGUGCUG